Taeniopygia guttata (zebra finch) is the source of this 554-nucleotide long non-coding RNA. RefSeq lists it as uncharacterized. Lineage: Eukaryota; Metazoa; Chordata; Aves; Passeriformes; Estrildidae. The record is from RefSeq and is a predicted model, not a curated record.
CGCCCGGCUGCCACGGCGGAGCUGGGCUGAGGGAGGCGGCGGAGCUGGGCUGAGGGAGGCGGCGAAAUGGCCGCCAAAACGCCCUCCGAGGCGGCGGCUCCGAGGCGGCGGCUCCGAGGCGGCGGCUCCGAGGCGGCGGCUCCGAGGCGGCGGCUCCGAGGCGGCGGCUCCCGGGCCCCGCUCCGCAGGGAGAGGGCAGCUGAACGUUUCAGCUGAGCUGGGCUGUCGUGCCGGGAAGUUAAGAGCAGAAUCACAGAUGCGCGGAAUGGUUUGGGUUGCAAGGGAGUUAAAAGUUCAUCUAGUUUCAUCCCCCCGGCCAUGGGCAGCUUCCACCAGAUCAGGUUGCUCCAAGCCCUUCCCAACCUGGCCUUGAACACUUCAGCCUCAGCUGCUCUGGGCAACCUUUGCCAGGGCAUCUCCACCCUCACAGGGAAGAAUUUCUUCCCAAUAUCUAAAUCUACUCACUUUUUAGUUUGAAGCCAUUUCCCCUUUUGUCCUAUUGCUACGUGCCCUUGUAAAGUGUGAAAAGUGCAUAUUUUAUGAUUGGCUUUUCA